AUGGUAGUGUAGUCUCCUCUAUUUUAUUCACUGGAUCUGGCAACAUGCAGCAUCUGGUUAUUCCCCCAAAUCAAAAUAACCAUGAAAGGUAAACAUUUUCGAUCAGCUUGGGACAUCUGGUAGCCACAACACUGCAAAUAAGGACACAAAAGAGGACUUCCAGAACUCCCUCCAGAAGCGGAAGAAUUAGUAUAAGUGUGUUCAAAGGUUCAACCACAGGGAUGCGGAAGUACCCAGCUGAGAUACCUUCCUCCUGGGAUCGAUGUGGCUAGCACGCCCGCCUGGCACAACAGCGACCCAGAUGCUUUGGACCAAUCCUCAAUAUGGUCUGUGUUAGUUACUUUCCUCUCAUUGCUGAGACAAAAUACCCAACAGUUAAAGGGGACACCUUUAUUUGGCUUACCGUUCGUAGAGGUUUCAGUCCGUAAUAGGCUGGCUCCAAGGCAGAGUGGCAGAGGGGCAACAGUUCAUGGUGGUGGAAGACAGCAGAAACAACAAGUGACCUUAACAGCAUCUUCCGGCCCCUUUUAUCUUAUUCAGGCUACUUAGGGUGAGAAGCACUCACACCCUUAAUCCUAGUGCCCUUGGGCCUACCCCACCAGGAAUCAAUCACACACUCUAGAUUCAGCCACCUCUGCAAAAGCAUGCGGCUUUGGGGGGGACAUCUAAACACA
This is a long non-coding RNA of Heterocephalus glaber (naked mole-rat), 674 nucleotides long. The record is from Ensembl. NCBI's taxonomy places the organism in Eukaryota, Metazoa, Chordata, Mammalia, Rodentia, Bathyergidae.